UGGUCGUACAGCUCACCAAGCACGUCAAGGUGAGGUCAUUGGUCGUACCGCUCACCAAGCACGUCAAGGUGAGGUUAAAGGUCAUUGGUCGUACAGCUCACCAAGCACGUUAAGGUGAGGUUGAAGGUCAUUGGUCGUACAGCUCACCAAGCACGUCAAGGUGAGGUCAUUGGUCGUACAGCUCACCAAGCACGUCAAGGUGAGGUUGAAGGUCAUUGGUCGUACAGCUCACCAAGCACGUUAAGGUGAGGUUGAAGGUCAUUGGUCGUACAGCUCACCAAGCACGUUAAGGUGAGGUCAUUGGUCGUACAGCUCACCAAGCACGUUAAGGUGAGGUUGAAGGUCAUUGGUCGUACAGCUCACCAAGCACGUUAAGGUGAGGUUGAAGGUCAUUGGUCGUACAGCUCACCAAGCACGUCAAGGUGAGGUCAUUGGUCGUACAGCUCACCAAGCACGUCAAGGUGAGGUUGAAGGUCAUUGGUCGUACAGCUCACCAAGCACGUUAAGGUGAGGUUGAAGGUCAUUGGUCGUACAGCUCACAAGCAUGUUAAGGUGAGGUUGAAGGUCAUUGGUCAUUGGUCGUACAGCUCACCAAGCAUGUUAAGGUGAGGUUGAAGGUCAUUGGUCGUACAGCUCACCAAGCAUGUUAAGGUGAGGUUGAAGGUCAUUGGUCGUACAGCUCACCAAGCAUGUUAAGGUGAGGUUGAAGGUCAUUGGUCGUACAGCUCACCAAGCAUGUUAAGGUGAGGUUGAAGGUCAUUGGUCGUACAGCUCACAAGCAUGUUAAGGUGAGGUUGAAGGUCAUUGGUCGUA
This is a long non-coding RNA of Oncorhynchus keta (chum salmon), 813 nucleotides long. RefSeq lists it as uncharacterized. Lineage: Eukaryota; Metazoa; Chordata; Actinopteri; Salmoniformes; Salmonidae. The transcript is spliced from 6 exons. The record is from RefSeq and is a predicted model, not a curated record.